GGCCUAUUAGCUCAGCUGGUUAGAGCGUCGUGCGGUCACAGGUUCGAGACCUGUAUGGGCCA
RNAcentral lists this transfer RNA (62 nucleotides) under Hordeum vulgare. RNAcentral describes it as "tRNA-Ser". It matches the Rfam family "tRNA". Rfam says of the family: Transfer RNA (tRNA) molecules are approximately 80 nucleotides in length. Their secondary structure includes four short double-helical elements and three loops (D, anti-codon, and T loops). Lineage: Eukaryota; Viridiplantae; Streptophyta; Magnoliopsida; Poales; Poaceae. The record is from RNAcentral.